GGGAAUGGGGUGCAACUCCCCAACUGUGCCGCAACGGUGACUCACAUCCGUUCGACAUAAAUUAUUACAAACACCCGUUGUAAAAGUAUCUAUAGCAACAGGAUAAAGUAAUAGUUUACUCCGAACAAAGUGAGGAGUCCGAAAACC
Molecule: non-coding RNA, 147 nt
Filed under: Candidatus Microgenomates bacterium
Lineage: Bacteria; Candidatus Microgenomatota
Source: RNAcentral